Molecule: ribosomal RNA, 1366 nt
Filed under: uncultured bacterium
Lineage: Bacteria
Description: bacterial SSU rRNA
Rfam family: Bacterial small subunit ribosomal RNA
Source: RNAcentral
GAUGAACGCUAGCGAUAGGCUUAACACAUGCAAGUCGAGGGGUAACGUGUUGGAAGCUUGCUUCCGAUGACGACGACCGGCGGAUGGGUGCGUAACGCGUAUGCAACUUGCCUCACAGAGGAGAAUAACCCGGAGAAAUCCGGACUAAUGCUCCAUACACUCUUUAGCACGCCUGUGCGUAAGAGGAAAGAUUUAUCGCUGUGAGAUAGGCAUGCGUCCUAUUAGGUAGUUGGUGAGGUAACGGCUCACCAAGCCGACGAUAGGUAGGGGUGCUGAGAGGCAGAUCCCCCACAUUGGGACUGAGACACGGCCCAAACUCCUACGGGAGGCAGCAGUGAGGAAUAUUGGUCAAUGGAGGAAACUCUGAACCAGCCAAGUCGCGUGAAGGAAGAAUGUCCUAAGGAUUGUAAACUUCUUUAGCGAGUGAGUAAGGACUUCCACGCGUUGGGAGUUUGAAAGUAGCUCGAGAAUAAGUAUCGGCUAACUCCGUGCCAGCAGCCGCGGUAAUACGGAGGAUACGAGCGUUAUCCGGAUUUAUUGGGUUUAAAGGGUGCGCAGGUGGUCCUGCAAGUCAGUGGUGAAAAGCUGAGGCUCACCUCAGCCUUGCCGUUGAAACUGCAAGACUUGAGAGUACAUGAUGUGGGCGGAAUGCGUAGUGUAGCGGUGAAAUGCAUAGAUAUUACGCAGAACUCCGAUUGCGAAGGCAGCUCACAAAGGUAUGUCUGACACUGAGGCACGAAAGCGUGGGGAGCAAACAGGAUUAGAUACCCUGGUAGUCCACGCCGUAAACGAUGAUUACUCGAAGUAUGCGAUAUGACAGUAUGCUUCCAAGCGAAAGUGAUAAGUAAUCCACCUGGGGAGUACGCCGGCAACGGUGAAACUCAAAGGAAUUGACGGGGGCCCGCACAAGCGGAGGAACAUGUGGUUUAAUUCGAUGAUACGCGAGGAACCUUACCCGGGAUUGAAAUGUAUGUGCGCCUCUUGGGAAACCGAGAGGGUUCUCUUCGGAGACACAUAUGUAGGUGCUGCAUGGUUGUCGUCAGCUCGUGCCGUGAGGUGUCGGCUUAAGUGCCAUAACGAGCGCAACCCUUAUCGUCAGUUACUAACAGGUUAAGCUGAGGACUCUGGCGAGACUGCCGUCGUAAGGCGAGAGGAAGGUGGGGAUGACGUCAAAUCAGCACGGCCCUUACAUCCGGGGCGACACACGUGUUACAAUGGUAGGGACAGAGAGUAGCCACUCGGCGACGAGGAGCGGAUCUUGAAACCCUAUCUCAGUUCGGAUCGGAGUCUGCAACUCGACUCCGUGAAGCCGGAUUCGCUAGUAAUCGCGCAUCAGCCAUGGCGCGGUGAAUACGUUCCCGGGCCU